RNAcentral lists this ribosomal RNA (497 nucleotides) under uncultured bacterium. RNAcentral describes it as "partial 16S ribosomal RNA". It matches the Rfam family "Bacterial small subunit ribosomal RNA", at positions 28 to 507 of the family's 1533-position model. The record is from RNAcentral.
GAUGAACGCUGGCGGCGUGCCUAAUACAUGCAAGUCGAGCGAACAGACGAGGAGCUUGCCCCUCUGAUGUUAGCGGCGGACGGGUGAGUAAAACGUGGAUAACCUACCUAUAAGACUGGGAUAACUUCGGGAAACCGGAGCUAAAACCGGAUAACAUGUUGAACCGCAUGGUUCAACAGUGGAAGACGGUCUUGCUGUCACUUAUAGAUGGAUCCGCGCCGCAUUAGCUAGUUGGUAAGGUAACGGCUUACCAAGGCAACGAUGCGUAGCCGACCUGAGAGGGUGAUCGGCCACACUGGAACUGAGACACGGUCCAGACUCCUACGGGAGGCAGCAGUAGGGAAUCUUCCGCAAUGGGCGAAAGCCUGACGGAGCAACGCCGCGUGAGUGAAGAAGGUCUUCGGAUCGUAAAACUCUGUUAUUAGGGAAGAACAAAUGUGUAAGUAACUAUGCACGUCUUGACGGUACCUAAUCAGAAAGCCACGGCUAACUACGUG